RNAcentral lists this ribosomal RNA (433 nucleotides) under uncultured bacterium. RNAcentral describes it as "partial 16S ribosomal RNA". It matches the Rfam family "Bacterial small subunit ribosomal RNA", at positions 29 to 507 of the family's 1533-position model. The record is from RNAcentral.
AACGAACGCUGGCGGCAUGCCUAACACAUGCAAGUCGAACGAGACCUUCGGGUCUAGUGGCGCACGGGUGCGUAACGCGUGGGAACCUGCCCUUAGGUUCGGAAUAACUCCCCGAAAGGGGUGCUCAUACCGGAUAAUGUCUUCGGGCCAAAGAUUUAUCGCCUUUGGGUGGGCCCGGGUUGGAUUAGCUGGUUGGGAGGGUAAAAGCCUACCAAGGCGACGAUCCAUAGCUGGUUUGGGAGGAUGAUCAACCACACUGGGACUGAGACACGGCCCAGACUCCUACGGGAGGCAGCAGUGGGGAAUAUUGGACAAUGGGCGAAAGCCUGAUCAAGCAAUGCCGCGUGAGUGAUGAAGGCCUUAGGGUUGUAAAGCUCUUUUACCCGGGAUGAUAAUGACAGUACCGGGAGAAUAAGCUCCGGCUAACUACGUG